UAUCAUAGAUCUAAUGCUGAAUUCUUCUCAGUGCCUUAUGUCAGGAGACACAUGCUAUCAAUUAGUCUCAUUAUUAAAGAUAUUAACUUUGAUCAUUUGGUAAAGGUGGUGUUUGCCAGGUUAUAGUCCUGCAAAGUUAUUAUUUUACCCUUUGUAAUCAGUAGGUAUCUUGUGCGUAGACACUUUGGCACUAUGCAAAUAUCCUUUGACUUCCCUUAAACUCUAACUUCUAGUUUUAGCAUCCACUGAUAAUCUUGCUUGAGUCAACUGUUAUUAUGACGGGUGCCAAAUGGCAAUUUUCUAAUUACAUCAUUCUGUCUACAUUAUUAGUUGGUUUUCUAUUGAAAGAAAGGACCCCUAUCCUCAUCUUUCUUUCCAUCAGUGAGGACACAUGGACCCCUACUGCAUGUAGUACUAUUUUUAUUUAUUUUAAUACUCACAUUGUCCCAGAUUUGGCCAGUGGGAGCCAUUUUAAGCUGGCUUUUGUGUCCUUUUGACAUAUCCUCACUAUUUCCUUGAACACUUUCAGAAUUUUUGCCAUUAUAAGGUGUUCCUGGCUUAUCUUAUGUUUUUCUUGCCUUAGCCCUGGAAUCAGCCAUUUCUCCAAGGACUCCUGGUACCCUUCAAUGGAGAAUGGUGUUUAGAGGCCAAGAUCUGGAUGUCAGAUUCUUCCUGUUGAUGUCCAAUUGACAAAAAUAUCUUAGGGAAGAAGGUGAAGAAACAAGCUUCUUAGAGACUAUGUAACUUGGCCACAUGUCAAGGAUAUUUGAGAUUCAAGCCCAAAUUCUUCAGACUAUGGAGCCCAUGCUAAUUCCAGGACACCAUGAAAUCACACACGUGUGAAGGCAAUUCUUGAACUACGGGGAUGCAGUUCUCAGUCUUCUUAUUCUGUAACACACAUCACCAAUCAACAUUCGCAUGAGAAACCCAAGCUUAUGCCCAAUUCCUGGAAUACUAUCUUUACCUGGAUCAUAUUCUCUGCCACAGAAGAAAGCAUGUGAAUGGGUGAAAACAAGAAGUGCUUCUCUUCACAGAAGUGGGCUUUAAAAGCCAUUUUCAAAUGAAAGAUUGCUCUUGCCUCCCCUCCUGUGCUCACCACCGCAUUUGCAACAGGUUUAUGCUACCAUAGAGGUGAAGAAGUCCAGUCUCCUUUGAUGCAUCGAAAGUCAAAUACACUGUAACAUGGGAUACAAGUACAUCUGACAAAGAGGCACAUUUUAUUACUAAACUUGGAAAUGAAUUAAUCUAAUUACUGCUGAAUUGCUUGACCAACACGAAAACCUAGGAAGGUAUGCUGUGGCUGCAAUUGUCAUCGUAAGUGAUACAACCACCAGUUGGAGAGUGCUUUGGAACUUUAAAGUGCCACACUGGGUAAAAGGUUUUCUACUAUCUUACUGUGAUUGGUAUAACCCUGGAACAAUAAAGAUUCUGAAUCUCAGGCAUUGGAAACAUCUGGUUCUUUGGUUUACAUCCAUCCCUUCCUCUGAGGUAGGACCUCUUCUCCAAAUACAAGCCAAUAUGUUGUCCUGAGGCAUGGAGGCAUUUACUGUCACAGAAUUCACCACAUAUUGGUUAUGGAGUAAGCACAUGACUGAAGUGAGUCCUAUCAUGUAUGAUACCCUAUGGUCUGCCAGUGGAUAUUUGCCCAGAGAUGAUCAUAAAACCAACAGGAGCCUAUCAGAGUACCCUCCCAGGGGCUUUCUAACUAGAGUCAGAGGGAAAUGUUCCCUUUCACCCCUUUUUGGUAGCAAGGCUGUGACAGUGUAAGUCCCAAGCUGCCCAUGGUCCUGUUCCUUCUGCCAAAUGAAGAAAGUCUCCUAGUAGUAGAAGAGAAUAAAGUUGACAUGAAGGGAGAACAAGAUACAAAGGAUACAGAUUCCUGAGAGUUUUGAGUUCUUGAAUUCAAUGGCCACAAAGACAGCUGCAACACAAGCUUCUCUGAGAUUCAGCUAUGUGAGUUGAUAAUCACCUCCUUUCCAAGCCACUUGUGCCUGUUGCUUUUCUUUGAGUUCCUGUCACUUAUAACCCAAAGUUUCUGUGUGAUACACAUUCUGUAAGAUUGAUACUAAUGAUAUUGUAAGAGCAUUUCUCUGGGAAUAAAGUAUGAGGUGUUACUAGUCAGUGUCUAACUGAUUUCCAGCCAUAAUCCUACCAUGCCAUCAUCCUGAAAUGUAUCCUAAUAUACUACAAAUUAAACCUCAACACAAGUUGUUUACCACUGCAUAAUUUGCUGCCACCCACAAUUUUCAGGAAGAAGUGAUGACAAAGGUGUCCAUGAACCCCUCAUAUACAGUGAUUGUGGAGCUUCACUACUUGCAACUAUGCACAUCUUGUCUAUGUACACGACUCACUGGGGUUAACUGGGAUUGACAAAUAUUGAUUCGUGAACUUCAGAUCAUGUGAUGGACCAGCACAUGUGAGAUGAUGAUAGAAUAAAGUAUGGGGUACUGACAAUUUACAAGAAUCGAGAUAUGCAGUAUUGGUCUAAUUUGCAUUUUAGAUAACUUAGCUUCCAUUCAAUUUAGAAAGUCUAGCUCUUCCAGGAAAAGCUUCUUGCAUCCCAAGAAAAUGAUCUCACACCUGAAUAAGAGCUUCUUUUAGACAGGGCUAAAUUUUCCUUUUGUAAAGCGAAACUGCAUAUUUAUUCUAUAGGAGAAGAAAGAAGUCACCUUGGAGCAGAUCUCUGCUUUGAAAAGGGUUGGCAUAGGGAAAUGUAAAUUGAAUAGGACUCACUAUCCUUAGAGAAGGGUAUCAUACUUUUGUUGCCAGGGGACUACUUUUCUGUUUUCUUUGAUAUGUUGACAGAUGAAUCAGUUUUAUAAAAAGCUAGGGUCUUUGUGGAAGAAAAGACCCAGACUCUGACCCCAAUUUAACAAUUAAGGGUGAAAAAAAAUCAAAAUUAAGGGCAACUCUAAAGGUGACCUAUGGUGUCCCUAAACAAGAGAUCUUCUGGCAGGAGGAGACAUAAAGACUCUCAAGAGGAACUCGCCAGAAGGAAAAGUAUUUCUGGUUUCAUGACCCGAAUCUAGAAUGAUAGGACCCAAGAAUUGUUAAGGAAGAGCUAGUUCUGGAGGGAUAUGUAACUAAGUUUGGAAGUCCCUCUGGACUUGGCCCUGGCAUGGUGCUGUGCUUUGAGAACAGUGGAUGUGUGUAGGAUUGUGAAAUGAGAAAACUCUUGCUUAGUCUCCAAGUGGGCAAUGCUGCAGACUGUGCAGGAUUCCAAGUCACCAUGAGAAUCUCAUAGGCCUGGGGCUAACUUGCAUGGGAUUGUGGAGAACCAAGAUCUGGCAGCAAACGGAGCCAGGAUGCCACAGAGAAAGGUAAGGCUUUUGGUUCUCUGUCUUCCAGCAUUGUUCCUUCAAACAACAAGUUAGCUCCUGGGGUCCUGGAACCCUCUUCAGCAGGAGUUGGUGAGCCACCAUCUCACAGGCCAAAUCCAGCCUGGUUUUGUAAAUAGUGUUACUUGAUUCGUGGGUUGGAGGUCCGUAUCAGGCUCUGUGCUGACAGUGUGGAGCCUGCUUGGGAUUCUCUCUCCUUGUCUCUCUGCCCCUCCCCAACUCAUGCUGUCUCCAAAUAAAUAAAUAAAUAAAUAAAUAAAUAAACCUAAAAAAAUAAUAUAAAUAGUGUUACUGAAACACAACCACACACAGCCUUUCUGUGUUGUCUAUGCCUGUUUUGAUAUUGCAGUGGCAGAGUCGAACAGCUGUGACACAAGAUUAUGUAGCUCACAAAAUGUAAAAUAUUCUCUUGGGUUCUUAAUGGAAUGCAGUGCUGACCCCUGAUAUUCAACAGCUUUCAGAAUUUCCCUUCACCCCAUCUAUCCUAAUUCUCACUAAUUCUAAAUUUUAGUUUGAAUUUACUCUGAACCCACGUGGUUGAUCUUACUGUCUCCAGAAUAAACAGUGACAUUUUCCGGCAUAUACCAUUUCUCACCAAUUGCUCUCAUGGCAGAGUUCUUAAACAACCCUCUAUCCCACUGAAAUAUCUAGUCUUGACUCUUUAAUGUCAUAUCUGUGGAUGUGAAUUCACAGAGCACAGUGAAUUUGUGACAUGACUUCAUAUACACAGGAAUAAUGCAGACAGAACGAUGUAUAGUUUAUUUUUCACAGAAGAUUUGACAGAAAUUAAAAAUAUUCCUUAAUAUGCCAUAAAAUACAGUAGAGAGAAUUUUAAUGUAAUAUUUAAAUUUUAGACAUCCAUUUGCCUUUGUAAAUACUAUUCAGAGGAAAUUUUAAACCUUCAAAUGUCAUAAAAUGGCAAAAGCCACAUUAUACAAAUAUCUUUAAUUUGUUCAAUCUGUGCUGAGUUCUUUCAAGGUUAUUUAAAAUGGCAUGCAAAUUAGAGUAAAUUAACCAAUAUUUCAGAAAAAGCAGAUGGAACCUUGGUCUUAAUGCCAUUUGAAUACUGAAACCAACUGUUGUAUUGAUUAGAAAGGAAACGUACUAGAUUUAAUGAAAAUAAUGUUGUUUUCUAUUGCUGAUCAGCUGCUCAUUGACAUCAUACACAACUCAAUUUUAAAAUUUGGGAAAAAAUUUAAAUGUAACAAUUCAAGAAAUACUUAUUGAAGGGCUAUUCUAUAUAUGGUACUGUACCAGGUACUGAAGGCAUAGAGAUAAAUGAGCACAGUUUUGUCCUAAACAAGUUUACACUAUACUAAGGGAAGCUAUGUGAAAUCAAAUACU
This is a long non-coding RNA of Acinonyx jubatus (cheetah), 4682 nucleotides long. RefSeq lists it as uncharacterized. Lineage: Eukaryota; Metazoa; Chordata; Mammalia; Carnivora; Felidae. The record is from RefSeq and is a predicted model, not a curated record. The transcript has 10 exons.